GUGGAAAAGGAUGUGGAGUUGCGCAGACAGCCAGGAGGUUGGCUUGGAAGCAGCCAUCCUUGAAAGAGUGCGUAAUAGCUCACUGGUCAAGUGAUUCCGCGCCGACAAUGUAGCGGGGCUGAAGUUAUCCGCCGAAGCUGUGGCAAACCCGUUUUGCGGGUUUGGGUAGGGGAGCGUCCUGUGUGAGGUGAAGCUGCCGGGUGACCGUGUGGUGGAUUGUGCGGGAGUGAGAAUGCAGGCAUGAGUAGCGAAUGACGGGUGGAAAACCCGUCCGCCGAUUAUCCAAGGGUUCCAGGGUCAAGUUAAUCUGCCCUGGGUGAGUCGGGACCUAAGGCGAGGCCGACAGGCGUAGUCGAUGGACAACCAGUUGAUAUUCUGGUACCGGCUUGUCACCGUCCGUGUCGAGGUGUGUGAUGCUAAGCGUGCGAGCCUGCCAUUGUGAUGUCUUUGAUGUUGUGGUGGUGUGGUGAGUGUGUGAACCGAUCAUGUAGUAGGCAAGCUGCGGAGGGACGCAGGGAGGUAGCUCAUCCCCGGCGAUGGUUGUCCGGGGCUAAAUGUGUGGACCGUCUGGUAGGUAAAUCCGCCAGGGUUGUGGUUGAGGCAUGAUGGCGAGCCCACGGAAAGUGGGUGAGUGAGUGAUCCUGUACUGUCGAGAAAAUCUUCGUGAGCGAGGUGGCUGGUCCGCCCGUACCCUAAACCGACACUGGUGGAUAGGUAGAGUAUACCGAGGCGAUCGAGAGAAUCAUGGUGAAGGAACUCGGCAAAAUGCCCCCGUAACUUUGGAAGAAGGGGGACCUGAGCUGUUGCCGCCACGUGCUGGUGGUUGCGGUGAGGGGCGCAGAGAAUUGGGGGAAGCGACUGUUUACCAAAAACACAGGUCCGUGCGAAGUCGUAAGACGAUGUAUACGGACUGACUCCUGCCCGGUGCUGGAAGGUUAAGGGGAACUGUUAGCUUUGGCGACGCGGUGAACUUAAGCCCCAGUAAACGGCGGUGGUAACUAUAACCAUCCUAAGGUAGCGAAAUUCCUUGUCGGGUAAGUUCCGACCUGCACGAAUGGAGUAACGACUUCCCUACUGUCUCCACCAUGAACUCGGUGAAAUUGCAUUACGAGUAAAGAUGCUCGUUACGCGCAGCAGGACGGAAAGACCCCGGGACCUUCACUAUAGUUUGGUAUUGGUGAUCGGUUCGACUUGUGUAGGAUAGGUGGGAGACUGUGAAGCUGUCACGCUAGUGGUGGUGGAGUCGUUGGUGAAAUACCACUCUGGUCGUUCUGGUUAUCUAACGUUGGGCCAUGAUCUGGUUCACGGACAGUGCCUGAUGGGUAGUUUGACUGGGGCGGUCGCCUCCUAAAAGGUAACGGAGGCGCCCAAAGGUUCCCUCAUCCUGGUUGGUAAUCAGGUGUCGAGUGUAAGUGCACAAGGGAGCUUGACUGUGAGACAGACAUGUCGAGCAGGGACGAAAGUCGGGACUAGUGAUCUGACGGUGGCUUGUGGAAGUGCCGUCACUCAACGGAUAAAAGGUACCCCGGGGAUAACAGGCUGAUCUUGCCCGAGCGCUCAUAGCGACGGCAUGGUUUGGCACCUCGAUGUCGGCUCGUCGCAUCCUGGGGCUGGAGUCGGUCCCAAGGGUUGGGCUGUUCGCCCAUUAAAGCGGCACGCGAGCUGGGUUCAGAACGUCGUGAGACAGUUCGGUCCCUAUCCGCUGCGCGCGUAGGAAUCUUGAGAAGAGCUGUCCUUAGUACGAGAGGACCGGGACGGACUGACCUCUGGUGUGCCAGUUGUACUGCCAAGUGCAUGGCUGGUUGGCUACGUCGGGUUGUGAUAACCGCUGAAAGCAUCUAAGCGGGAAGCACGCUUCGAGAUGAGGGUUCCCGCAGAUGAAUCUGGUAAGACUUCCGGUAGACGACCGGGUUGAUAGGCUGGAUGUGGAAGCACUGCAAGGUGUGGAGCUGACCAGUACUAAUAAGUCGAGGGCUUGUUACA
RNAcentral lists this ribosomal RNA (1983 nucleotides) under Dermabacter sp. Its description in RNAcentral is "partial 23S ribosomal RNA". It matches the Rfam family "Bacterial large subunit ribosomal RNA", at positions 1063 to 2925 of the family's 2925-position model. Lineage: Bacteria; Bacillati; Actinomycetota; Actinomycetes; Micrococcales; Dermabacteraceae. The record is from RNAcentral.